GCUAUACNUGCAAGUCGAGCGAGCGGAACCAACAGAUUUACUUCGGUAAUGACGUUGGGAAAGCGAGCGGCGGAUGGGUGAGUAACACGUGGGGAACCUGCCCCUAAGUCUGGGAUACCAUUUGGAAACAGGUGCUAAUACCGGAUAAUAAAGCAGAUCGCAUGAUCAGCUUUUGAAAGGCGGCGUAAGCUGUCGCUAAGGGAUGGCCCCGCGGUGCAUUAGCUAGUUGGUAAGGUAACGGCUUACCAAGGCGACGAUGCAUAGCCGAGUUGAGAGACUGAUCGGCCACAUUGGGACUGAGACACGGCCCAAACUCCUACGGGAGGCAGCAGUAGGGAAUCUUCCACAAUGGACGCAAGUCUGAUGGAGCAACGCCGCGUGAGUGAAGAAGGUUUUCGGAUCGUAAAGCUCUGUUGUUGGUGAAGAAGGAUAGAGGUAGUAACUGGCCUUUAUUUGACGGUAAUCAACCAGAAAGUCACGGCUAACUAC
This 489-nucleotide ribosomal RNA is filed under the name uncultured bacterium. RNAcentral's name for it is "bacterial SSU rRNA". It matches the Rfam family "Bacterial small subunit ribosomal RNA", at positions 48 to 504 of the family's 1533-position model. The record is from RNAcentral.